RNAcentral lists this ribosomal RNA (405 nucleotides) under uncultured prokaryote. RNAcentral's name for it is "bacterial SSU rRNA". It matches the Rfam family "Bacterial small subunit ribosomal RNA", at positions 355 to 774 of the family's 1533-position model. The record is from RNAcentral.
UGGGGAAUAUUGGGCAAUGGGCGCAAGCCUGACCCAGCAACGCCGCGUGAAGGAUGAAGGCCUUCGGGUUGUAAACUUCUUUGAUCAGGGACGAAACAAAUGACGGUACCUGAAGAACAAGCCACGGCUAACUACGUGCCAGCAGCCGCGGUAAUAAGUAGGUGGCGAGCGUUAUCCGGAUUUAAUGGGUGGAAAGGGCGGGUAGGCGGGUCUGCAAGUCGGAUGUGAAAUUCCCGGGCUUAACUCGGGCGGGUCAUCCGAAACUGCGGAUCUUGAGUACUGGAGAGGAUAGUGGAAUUCCUAGUGUAGCGGUAAAAUGCGUAGAUAUUAGGAGGAACACCAGUGGCGAAGGCGGCUAUCUGGACAGUAACUGACGCUGAGGCGCGAAAGCGUGGGGAGCAAACA